This 243-nucleotide unclassified non-coding RNA is filed under the name Hevea brasiliensis (rubber tree). The record is from RNAcentral. Lineage: Eukaryota; Viridiplantae; Streptophyta; Magnoliopsida; Malpighiales; Euphorbiaceae.
AAAAGAUAAAACAUUAAAUUGCAGUGAAGAAUUUCAAUCUAAGGAUUACAUGGCAAGUUGCUUACAGGUCAGGAGACCCAUAGCACUGAUGAUAAGAGUAUUUACACAAAGAUCCAAAAUUGCAAUCCCCAUACUUCAUGUAAUAAUGACAUUCAGGUAGACGGUAGCCCAGGUCUUCUAUUCCAAACUGUGAUUUACAUUGUGAGGUUUUCUAAUAUUGGACUUGCUGCUAAUUAACCCAAG